UGGGGAAUUUUGGACAAUGGGCGAAAGCCUGAUCCAGCAAUGCCGCGUGUGUGAAGAAGGCCUUCGGGUUGUAAAGCACUUUUGUCCGGAAAGAAAUGGCUCUGGUUAAUACCUGGGGUCGAUGACGGUACCGGAAGAAUAAGGACCGGCUAACUACGUGCCAGCAGCCGCGGUAAUACGUAGGGUCCAAGCGUUAAUCGGAAUUACUGGGCGUAAAGCGUGCGCAGGCGGUUGUGCAAGACCGAUGUGAAAUCCCCGAGCUUAACUUGGGAAUUGCAUUGGUGACUGCACGGCUAGAGUGUGUCAGAGGGGGGUAGAAUUCCACGUGUAGCAGUGAAAUGCGUAGAGAUGUGGAGGAAUACCGAUGGCGAAGGCAGCCCCCUGGGAUAACACUGACGCUCAUGCACGAAAGCGUGGGGAGCAAACAGGAUUAGAUACCCUGGUAGUCCACGCCCUAAACGAUGUCAACUAGUUGUUGGGGAUUCAUUUCCUUAGUAACGUAGCUAACGCGUGAAGUUUGACCGCCUGGGGAGUACGGUCGCAAG
This 545-nucleotide ribosomal RNA is filed under the name uncultured bacterium. RNAcentral's name for it is "partial 16S ribosomal RNA". It matches the Rfam family "Bacterial small subunit ribosomal RNA", at positions 355 to 892 of the family's 1533-position model. The record is from RNAcentral.